UACGGAGGGUGCGAGCGUUGUCCGGAUUUAUUGGGUUUAAAGGGUGCGUAGGCGGCCUGUUAAGUCAGCGGUGAAAGUUUAUGGCUCAACCAUGAAAUUGCCGUUGAUACUGGGGGGCUUGAGUGUCGAUGGGGUACAUGGAAUUUAUGGUGUAGCGGUGAAAUGCAUAGAUACCAUAAGGAACACCGAUAGCGAAGGCAUUGUACUUAUCGACAACUGACGCUGAGGCACGAAAGCGCGGGUAGCGAACAGG
RNAcentral lists this ribosomal RNA (253 nucleotides) under uncultured bacterium. Its description in RNAcentral is "partial 16S ribosomal RNA". It matches the Rfam family "Bacterial small subunit ribosomal RNA", at positions 524 to 776 of the family's 1533-position model. The record is from RNAcentral.